RNAcentral lists this ribosomal RNA (253 nucleotides) under uncultured bacterium. RNAcentral describes it as "partial 16S ribosomal RNA". It matches the Rfam family "Bacterial small subunit ribosomal RNA", at positions 524 to 776 of the family's 1533-position model. The record is from RNAcentral.
UACGAGAGGUCCAAACGUUAUUCGGAAUUACUGGGCUUACAGAGUUCGUAGGCGGCUCUACAAGUUGGGUGUGAAAGCCCUGGGCUCAACCCAGGAAGUGCAUUCAAAACUACUUUGCUUGAAUCUCGGAGGGGGUCAGAGAAUUCCCGGUGUAGAGGUGAAAUUCGUAGAUAUCGGGAGGAAUACCAGUGGCGAAGGCGCUGACCUGGACGAAGAUUGACGCUGAGGUGCGAAAGCGUGGGGAGCAAACAGG